GUCAGUUGCUAGCUCGUUGUGGUUGACACUGCCUCAUUAUGUGCGUUCCGGUUUCCUCCCACAUCCCAAAAACAUGCAGCAUUAAUUGGACACUCUAAAUUGCCCCUAGGUGUGAUUGUGUGUGCGACUUUUGUCUGUCUCCAUGUGCCCUGCAACUGGCUGCCAACCAGUUCAGGGUGUACCAUGCCUGCCUCCUGCCCGGUGACAGCUAGAGUAAGCUCCAGCACUCCCGCGACCCUCGUGAGGAUAAGCUGCCAAGAAAAUGGAUGGAUGGAUUUGAAAGUACACUGGUGUCUUGAGAUGUGUCCUGUGAUUGGCUGGAGAGAAAUGCAGAAUGUACAUCCCCUCACAUUUCAAAGUCAGUUGUUUACAGGCUCACCUGCGACGAGUGCUAUAAAAUGGAUGCGUGUCAAGACACUCAUGGACAUAUCAUAUAAAGUAUCCUCAAUAUAAUGCAGAUAUUCUCCAAAGGCUUCCUCUGUGUGCAGGGUCAAUGUCUGGUCUGUUAGAAGAGCCACGGCGAUGUCAAUUUACAUGUGUUUGAGUGCCCAGAGAUGAGUUUGUUCUUUCACCUUCGGGCAACAUUUUCAUUAGCGUCAGAAGUAGCUCGCCUCAGAGUCAAAAAAAUGAACUCUCUCCUUUACAUCACUAAGUUGAGAAGGUGGCACGACACGCUGGACUGCAGUCGUACAACCCUUGAAGCAAAUGUUGUACUCAACUCAUCUCAUGCACGCUUGAAGAGGCACCUUACAAACAAAUUCAUAAGGACAGGUUGGUUUUUGCAGCAGUGAUACAUUCGGAAAUGACUCUUUCCGUUUGUGCAUACCUAUUUUGUCGCAAAACCCGCUGAAUUAUGCGGCAUCGGGUUUUUGAAUUAUUUGCAAAGAAACUCAUCUGAAUCUUGCUCCUUUAGCCUAACUGGAGCAGUGUAUAUAUUUAUAUAUUUUUUGCCACCAUGGUAACAAGAUUCUCUUCAGUUCUCAGGGAAUGCUCAGGGGAGCCAAGAGUCUUGUGAACCUGAUGUAGCACUGCAGAAUACCUACAUUUUUCUUUGAUGGGCAUGACUUAGUGAAAUUGCACAGGAGCAACCUCUGCAACUGUCGAGCAUGUAUCUGGGUCACGGUGAUAAGCCCACUAUGCUUUUUAGCCAAUGUAAGGGGAAAUUUGUCAUGAGGAUAUUACUCAAGGAAUUCUAGAUGCGCUCUCUUUAAAUGGGAACAAUUGAGAUCAGAAAUUCAUUUGUUCAUUUCCAAAGCUUGUUUCAAGGACUUGAAGAAAAACAAAAAAUCAGCAUGUAUGAGCUCACUGCUAGUUUGUAGUUUGACCAAACUGGAAAACAUUAUACUGUACUAUAUGAGCAAUGUUUUGUUUUAUUACACAUCAGUUAAAUUAUUAUUACACAUGUGACCCAAGUCUAAUAGAAAUCAACUUUAAUGUGACACACCAUAAAGGUGGUAGUAAAAUUUUUAACUUGCAUUUUAUGGAAAAAUGUGGCUUAAAAGUCAAAUAAAAACCUG
Molecule: long non-coding RNA, 1517 nt
Organism: Syngnathoides biaculeatus (alligator pipefish)
Lineage: Eukaryota; Metazoa; Chordata; Actinopteri; Syngnathiformes; Syngnathidae
Exons: 3
Source: RefSeq, a predicted model, not a curated record